This 256-nucleotide ribosomal RNA is filed under the name Vibrio sp. a1p7. Its description in RNAcentral is "partial 16S ribosomal RNA". It matches the Rfam family "Bacterial small subunit ribosomal RNA", at positions 821 to 1076 of the family's 1533-position model. The record is from RNAcentral. Lineage: Bacteria; Pseudomonadati; Pseudomonadota; Gammaproteobacteria; Vibrionales; Vibrionaceae.
AGGUUGUGGCCUUGAGCCGUGGCUUUCGGAGCUAACGCGUUAAGUAGACCGCCUGGGGAGUACGGUCGCAAGAUUAAAACUCAAAUGAAUUGACGGGGGCCCGCACAAGCGGUGGAGCAUGUGGUUUAAUUCGAUGCAACGCGAAGAACCUUACCUACUCUUGACAUCCAGAGAACUUUCCAGAGAUGGAUUGGUGCCUUCGGGAACUCUGAGACAGGUGCUGCAUGGCUGUCGUCAGCUCGUGUCGUGAGAUGUU